GAUGGACGCUGGCGGCGUGCUUAACACAUGCAAGUCGAACGGAAAGGCUCCUGCUUGCAGGGGUACUCGAGUGGCGAACGGGUGAGUAACACGUGGGUGAUCUGCCCUGCACUUCGGGAUAAGCCUGGGAAACUGGGUCUAAUACCGGAUAGGACCACAUUUUGGAUGGUGUGGUGGAAAGUUUUUCGGUGUGGGAUGAGCUCGCGGCCUAUCAGCUUGUUGGUGGGGUAAUGGCCUACCAAGGCGUCGACGGGUAGCCGGCCUGAGAGGGUGUACGGCCACAUUGGGACUGAGAUACGGCCCAGACUCCUACGGGAGGCAGCAGUGGGGAAUAUUGCACAAUGGGCGCAAGCCUGAUGCAGCGACGCCGCGUGGGGGAUGACGGCCUUCGGGUUGUAAACUCCUUUCGCUAGGGACGAAGCGUUUUUGUGACGGUACCUGGAGAAGAAGCACCGGCUAACUACGUG
RNAcentral lists this ribosomal RNA (467 nucleotides) under uncultured bacterium. Its description in RNAcentral is "partial 16S ribosomal RNA". It matches the Rfam family "Bacterial small subunit ribosomal RNA", at positions 28 to 507 of the family's 1533-position model. The record is from RNAcentral.